CCAUACAGGGUACACUCGGUCAUGGAAAACCUGGAAAAGUUUUGGAAACUAGCCUUAAUUUUUGUUUCCCGCUUCGUUCCGCAACGCUCUAACGGAAAUGUGCAAGCGGAAGUCAGUAGUUGCGUACCUUGGUAAACAUCCGCUUCCGGCACUUUUACCGCGCAGAUUUCGCGUGUUUGAGAUCGCUGCUUUUUUGCUCGCCAUGCCAUUGUUUUAUUUAUUUUGCACCUAUUUGCAUUUUAUUGAUCACUCCGUUGCCUCUACCAAUCAUAAGGUACGUAUAAUUAUUUUAAUAUUGGGAUUAAUUUUCUUAAUUGAACGUUAUUUGCACAUUGGCGAAAGUUGUCCACCGUCUGUGUUUAUUUGGUAAGUAGAUUGGCUGUUAUCGUACCGAAAAUUGUAAUAUUAUUAUCUGAAACUGCAUGAUCAUCAAAUCAAAACAAACCUGUGGGUUUUGGAAAAUUCUUGUGGUACUGGAAAAGCCAUGGAAAUUUAUUCUGCCAGAAUUGGGGGAACCCUGUCUAUACCAUUUUUUAACACAACAAUGACAUCUCUCUCCUACCGAAUGUUUUUUUUUUUUUUCCCCAGCUGCUGGCUAGUACAUAACAGUGGAUCCCACCAAGAUCCAUUCCUAUAGCUGUAAUCAACAGCAAACAUCUUUUAGUUCAAUCUGGCGUUUUUGUUUUCUUGCUUCUCUCUGCCUGCAUGCACUGUACUGUAAAGCCUGCAGUUGAUUCCUCCUCAGUCAGCACCUCUACUUUGGCCAGGAGCAGCAUGGACCACGGCAGCUGUAUCCACACUAAUACUGUGGUUGCUGAGGCUCGAACCCAGCUGAGUAACCCUGCUAUCAGCUACCCACAUCCAGCAAUCCCUCACAGGGCUUGGACAGGAUCAGAUCCAGAAGAAACAUCAGGCAAGCUCACGAGAUGCAGGCCAUCAUCUGUGGCUACAGUCUACACGUAAUCCUUCUUCAGAGCUAUAGAACUGUUCAUUAAUGACCUUAUCACUACUUCCUCUGAGUCUGCUUGUCUCUCAUGUUCUCCACAUUGACUGAAGCUCCUCCCAUACUGGGAGCACUGGUAGGGCAUCUUGCUUGUAUGAGUUCAUUGGUGUCGCAUCAGUUCUGAUGAUUGACCAAACGUCUUCCUGCACGCUAAGCAAUGGUGUGGUCUCACCCAUGUAUGAAUCCACUGGUACGUCUUUAGGACUCACUUCACUGAAUCUCUUCCCACACUGGGAACUUUAAUGUGUCUAACUCAAUUAAUUGGCAAAAACUCUGCCUUUGCACACUCUAAGCAAUGGCAAUGCCUCUCCUCUGUGUGAAUCCGCUGGUGGAUCUGUAGGUGACUGACAUGAAUAAAACUCUUCCCACAGUGAGAGCACUGGUAGGGCCUCUCCCCUGUGUGAAUCCGCUGGUGGAUCUGUAGGUGACUGACAUGAAUAAAACUCUUCCCAAAGUGAGAGCACUGGUAGGGCCUCUCCCCUGUGUGAAUCCACUGGUGGAUCUUAAGAGCUCCUACUUGGCUGAUCUUCUUACAGUAGGAACGUAGGUGCUGCUUUAGUUUCUCUAAAACGUUUAAGCCCACUGGGAAAAUUUUCUUGUUUGUGUGAAUUUCCAGCUCUUCCAACACUGGGAGCACUGGUAGGGUCUCCUGUGUGAGUUUGUUGGUGUGUCUUUAGUGGUACCACAUUCCGAAGUGGUAAGGCUUUUCGCCUGUGUGACUUUAAUGUCUGUAACUCAUCUGAUUUUAUCCCCCCCCCCCUGCAAAUUUAAUACGCCUGCUUUUCAAACUAUGUUAAGGGUCCUGAAACCGCUUGGGCCAGUACCGAAUAUCAGCAUCGAGAUACCAAUCUUAGUAUUAUUUGCUACCGGAUUAAAAGGGAAAUACGUGAUAUUGCCGUCCUUAAUACUCACCAUGCAUCACUCUGCUGCAGUAAUGACUGUUAUGAUGUACCAUGCUAUAUGUUUACACCACGGUGCUAUGCCUGCUGGCCCUCUGCUUGGCCACGCCCCAAUUCUGCCGAAUGUAUUUAUGUUGUACGGAAUUGUAUGUUUUUGUAGGAGUGCCAUAGAAAAACUGUCUGUAAAAGAAUAUGGAAAUUAAUGAAUUCAUAUAAAAAUGAAUAAGAAUUA
Long non-coding RNA from Paramormyrops kingsleyae, 2134 nucleotides. RefSeq lists it as uncharacterized. The record is from RefSeq and is a predicted model, not a curated record. NCBI's taxonomy places the organism in Eukaryota, Metazoa, Chordata, Actinopteri, Osteoglossiformes, Mormyridae.